GCCUACGGCCAUGGUACCCUGAACAAGCCUGAUGUCUGAUCUCAGAAGCUAAGCAGGGUUGGGCCUGGUUAGUACUUGGAUGGGAGACCACCUAGGAAGACCAGGUGCUGUAAGUG
This 116-nucleotide ribosomal RNA is filed under the name Pteropus alecto (black flying fox). The record is from RNAcentral. RNAcentral also lists the same sequence under 1 other name. Lineage: Eukaryota; Metazoa; Chordata; Mammalia; Chiroptera; Pteropodidae.